This is a long non-coding RNA of Lolium perenne, 912 nucleotides long. RefSeq lists it as uncharacterized. NCBI's taxonomy places the organism in Eukaryota, Viridiplantae, Streptophyta, Magnoliopsida, Poales, Poaceae. The record is from RefSeq and is a predicted model, not a curated record.
CCCGUUCCACCCCCACCUAUUCCCCACUCCCGUCUCCUCCCCAACCCCCACUUCUCUUCCCCAACCCCGUGACGCGCCGGCGGCGGCCACCCAAGCCCCUCCUCCUCCGCCUCCGGGCACCACCGCCCUCUUCUCUCCCCUGCACCCCAACCUCUCUCUCACUCCUGCAGCCCCCUCCCCCUCGUUCCCACGGUGAACCCUAGCCCUGGUGCUCGAUUUGGGCUACCCAACUCCGGCGAACGGACCACCCCGCCACCGGCGUGGCUCUCACGGCCGGCAGGGACGAGGACGGCAACAAGUUCAAGGUCACCACCACCACCCGCGUCCGCAAGCUCGCCCGCGCGCGACUCUCCAAGGCCGCCGUCGAGCGCCACAACUGGGCCAAGUUCGGCGACGCCGCCAGCACCCUCCUUCCCCUCGUCGAAUCCUUCUCCCCCAGCGCACCAAGGUGCACAUUUCAAGAACGGUUUGGUUUGAAGAUAUAUCAGGUGACAAAGACAAUAAAGAGGUUAUCUGAAUAAUUAUGCUAUAUCGGUUCCUGACUUGAGGAGAACGUUGAGGAUGACGACAAGGUCGGGGAAGCUCUCCUUGUCGAGCCGGCGAGACCGACACUGCCCUCUCGGUGGCAAGAAGCUGAGACAAGCUGGAGCUCUGCUUGUCCAGCUAAAGCUUCCACGAGGCCGCAAGCUGGAGGCGUCCUGAGCCCAGCACUUGAUGGAUCGAGAGGAAGCUGGCGGGAUGGAGGCGGGCAUCCGCGCGCUGUGCUGGGUGCAGCGGGCAGCUAGCUAGCUUGUUGUGCUACAUCUGAUCGCACAUUGUAACUUUAUAAUUAUUUAAAAUCUUUUUUUUGUUUCUUAAAUUCAUUACCGCCGGCGCUUAGCCCUGGAUGCCAGGGGUAACUGAUUUUAAUUC